UAACCCAUGAACUGCUUUUGAAACUGCAAGACUUGAGUGAAGUAGAGGUAGGCGGAAUUCCCGGUGUAGNNNUGAAAUGCGUAGAGAUCGGGAGGAACACCAGUGGCGAAGGCGGCCUACUGGGCUUUAACUGACGCUGAGGCACGAAAGCAUGGGUAGCAAACAGGAUUAGAUACCCUGGUAGUCCAUGCCGUAAACGAUGAUUACUAGGUGUGGGGGGUCUGACCCCCUCCGUGCCGGAGUUAACACAAUAAGUAAUCCACCUGGGGAGUACGACCGCAAGGUUGAAACUCAAAGGAAUUGACGGGGGCCCGCACAAGCAGUGGAGUAUGUGGAUUAAUUCGAAGCAACGCGAAGAACCUUACCAGGUCUUGACAUCCAGCUAACGAAGUAGAGAUACAUUAGGUGCCCUUCGGGGAAAGCUGAGACAGGUGGUGCAUGGUUGUCGUCAGCUCGUGUCGUGAGAUGUUGGGUUAAGUCCCGCAACGAGCGCAACCCUUACUGUUAGUUGCUACGCAAGAGCACUCUAGCAGGACCGCCGUUGACAAAACGGAGGAAGGUGGGGAUGAUGUCAAAUCAUCAUGCCCCUUAUGACCUGGGCCUCACACGUACUACAAUGGCCGUUAACAGAGGGAAGCAAUACCGCGAGGUGGAGCAAAACCCUAAAAACGGUCCCAGUUCGGAUUGUAGGCUGCAACCCGCCUGCAUGAAGUUGGAAUUGCUAGUAAUCGCGGAUCAGCAUGCCGCGGUGAAUACGUUCCCGGGCCUUGUACACACCGCCCGUCACACCAUGGGAGCCGGUAAUACCCGAAGUCAGUAGUCUAACCGCAAGGAGGGCGCUGCCGAAGGUAGGAUUGGCGACUGGGGUGAAGUCGUAACAAGGUAGCCGUA
Molecule: ribosomal RNA, 891 nt
Filed under: uncultured bacterium
Lineage: Bacteria
Description: bacterial SSU rRNA
Rfam family: Bacterial small subunit ribosomal RNA
Source: RNAcentral